GCGCCUGUAGCUCAGCUGGAUAGAGUACUCGGCUACGAACCGAGCGGUCGGAGGUUCGAAUCCUUCCAGGCGCACCA
This 77-nucleotide transfer RNA is filed under the name Gammaproteobacteria bacterium. Its description in RNAcentral is "tRNA-Arg". It matches the Rfam family "tRNA". Rfam says of the family: Transfer RNA (tRNA) molecules are approximately 80 nucleotides in length. The record is from RNAcentral. Lineage: Bacteria; Pseudomonadati; Pseudomonadota; Gammaproteobacteria.